GCCAGACUCCUACGGGAGGCAGCAGUGGGGGAUAUUGCACAAUGGGGGGAACCCUGAUGCAGCGACGCCGCGUGGGUGAAGGAGCGUUUCGGCGCGUAAAGCCCUAUCGGCAGGGAAGAAGGAGGACGGUACCUGACUAAGAAACCCCGGCUAACUACGUGCCAGCAGCCGCGGUAAUACGUAGGGGGCAAGCGUUAUCCGGAUUUACUGGGUGUAAAGGGGGCGCAGACGGCAGCGCAAGCCAGGAGUGAAAGCCCGGGGCCCAACCCCGGGACUGCUCUUGGAACUGCGCGGCUGGAGUGCAGGAGGGGCAGGCGGAAUUCCUGGUGUAGCGGUGAAAUGCGUAGAUAUCAGGAGGAACACCGGUGGCGAAGGCGGCCUGCUGGACUGCGACUGACGUUGAGGCCCGAAAGCGUGGGGAGCAAACAGGAUUAGAUACCCCAGUAUU
Molecule: ribosomal RNA, 448 nt
Filed under: uncultured bacterium
Lineage: Bacteria
Description: partial 16S ribosomal RNA
Rfam family: Bacterial small subunit ribosomal RNA
Source: RNAcentral